RNAcentral lists this ribosomal RNA (253 nucleotides) under uncultured bacterium. RNAcentral's name for it is "partial 16S ribosomal RNA". It matches the Rfam family "Bacterial small subunit ribosomal RNA", at positions 524 to 776 of the family's 1533-position model. The record is from RNAcentral.
UACGUAGGUGGCAAGCGUUGUCCGGAUUUACUGGGCGUAAAGAGCGCGCAGGCGGUCGUUCAAGUCGCGUGUGAAAGCCCCCGGCUCAACUGGGGAGGGUCACGCGAUACUGAGCGACUCGAAGGCAGGAGAGGGAAGUGGAAUUCCCGGUGUAGUGGUGAAAUGCGUAGAUAUCGGGAGGAACACCAGUGGCGAAGGCGACUUCCUGGCCUGUUCUUGACGCUGAGGCGCGAAAGCUAGGGGAGCAAACGGG